Molecule: transfer RNA, 93 nt
Filed under: Candidatus Pelagibacter sp.
Lineage: Bacteria; Pseudomonadati; Pseudomonadota; Alphaproteobacteria; Candidatus Pelagibacterales; Candidatus Pelagibacteraceae
Description: tRNA-Ser
Rfam family: tRNA
About the family: Transfer RNA (tRNA) molecules are approximately 80 nucleotides in length. Their secondary structure includes four short double-helical elements and three loops (D, anti-codon, and T loops).
Source: RNAcentral
GUAGAGAUUAUCAAGAGGUAUGAGAAGGCGCACGCUUGGAAAGCGUGUAUACGAGCAAUCGUAUCAAGGGUUCGAAUCCCUUUCUCUCCGCCA